AACUCUGAGCAGUGGAUCACUCGGCUCAUGGGUCAAUGAAGAAUACAGCCAGCUGCAAGACUUGGUGUGAAUUGCAAGACACAUUGAGCACUGAUUUUUCAAAUGCACAUUGCGGUUUUGGGCGAUACCCAGGACCUCACCUGUCUGAGGGUCG
This 154-nucleotide ribosomal RNA is filed under the name Stegodyphus mimosarum. Its description in RNAcentral is "5.8S ribosomal RNA". It matches the Rfam family "5.8S ribosomal RNA". From Rfam's summary of the family: 5.8S ribosomal RNA (5.8S rRNA) is a component of the large subunit of the eukaryotic ribosome. It is transcribed by RNA polymerase I as part of the 45S precursor that also contains 18S and 28S rRNA. Functionally, it is thought that 5.8S rRNA may be involved in ribosome translocation. The record is from Rfam by way of RNAcentral. Lineage: Eukaryota; Metazoa; Arthropoda; Arachnida; Araneae; Eresidae.